RNAcentral lists this ribosomal RNA (465 nucleotides) under uncultured bacterium. Its description in RNAcentral is "partial 16S ribosomal RNA". It matches the Rfam family "Bacterial small subunit ribosomal RNA", at positions 29 to 507 of the family's 1533-position model. The record is from RNAcentral.
AAUGAACGUUGGCGGCGUGGCUUAGGCAUGCAAGUCGAGCGAGAACCCCGCAAGGGGGGACAGCGGCGAAAGGGACAGUAAUGUGUAGAUUAUCUGCCCUCAGGUCCGGGAUAGCUGCGGGAAACUGCAGGUAAUACCGGAUAACAUCUCCGGAUCAAAGGUGUGAUUCCGCCUGAGGAUGAGUCUGCAUCCUAUUAGCUAGUUGGUGGGGUAAUGGCCUACCAAGGCAUUGAUGGGUAGCAGGUGUGAGAGCACGACCUGCGUCAUUGGGACUGAGACACUGCCCAGACACCGACGGGUGGCUGCAGUCGAGAAUCUUCGGCAAUGGGCGCAAGCCUGACCGAGCGACGCCGCGUGUGGGAUGAAGGCCUUCGGGUUGUAAACCACUGUCAGAGGGGAUGAAAUGCAGGUGGGUUCUCCCAUCUGUUUGACAUAGCCGCAGAGGAAGGACGGGCUAAGUUCGUG